UUUUUUUUAUUUAUUUAUUUUUUUCUAUAGCUCAAAGUAAGUGCUAUUAAGUAACAAAAAGUUACCAUUUAAUAUAAUAUAAAUAUGUAGAAGGCACAUGCAAAAAUGUGUGAAUAAUUAAAAAGUGGAUCUAAUUCUCAUGCGCAUUACGUCGGAAACUUUAUAGCUUUGGUUAAGUAAUACCAAUAGUGUACUUUUCUUGAAUUUCUAGCUUUUUAGGUUCUAUGGAUUCUCAACAAAAGGGGAUGCCAUUGUUAUGUGGUUGCUCAAUACUUGGAUAACACUCAAAACCAAAGCGAUGCAAUCGAGGGGAAGGAGUGUGCAGCUCGACCGAUAAGGAGUCGAGGAGAAGUAACUGAUAAGGAGACAAGGAGAUGGAGCGGUGCAACUCGACUGAUAAGGAGCCGAGAGGAAGGAGCGGUGCAACUUGAUCGAUAUGGAGUCGAGAGGAAGGAGCGGUGCAGCUCGACCGAUAAGGAGCCAUACAACUCAACCGAUAAGGAGCCGAGGGGAAGGAGCGAUGCAGCUCGACCGA
Long non-coding RNA from Cucurbita maxima (winter squash), 535 nucleotides. RefSeq lists it as uncharacterized. The transcript is spliced from 2 exons. The record is from RefSeq and is a predicted model, not a curated record. NCBI's taxonomy places the organism in Eukaryota, Viridiplantae, Streptophyta, Magnoliopsida, Cucurbitales, Cucurbitaceae.